AGCCCUGCAGAGAGAGAGGCAGGGUCUGAUCUGCAGCCUCUGUGGCAGCUUUUGACCAGCUGUUUCCUCUCUCUUUCUCUUCG
This is a non-coding RNA of Myotis davidii, 83 nucleotides long. Lineage: Eukaryota; Metazoa; Chordata; Mammalia; Chiroptera; Vespertilionidae. The record is from Rfam.